GGCGGCAGGAACACAAUGUUACACUGAGAAUUGACCAAACAAGCGCAAAAGGCGGUUGCAUUUUAAAACUACAUUAAUGUCAAUCCUUGAUUACACUGAUCAUUGGUUUUAAGGACCUGGCACAGCCUAACCCAGUGACUGAAAGACAACAGCUGUGUUUACAUUUUGAUUUAUUGUACAGGGGAGUAAUCCAUUAAGCAACAAUCAUGUGUCACCAUAUCUCAGUGCGGUGAUGUCUGUGUACAUUUCCAGUUUUUAUGCCCUUUUCUCUGACAUGUUUUCCUUCAGCUCAGAACAAUCCUAAGAAACUCUCUCCCUGUCCUCCACACCCCUUUCACUGGCACAUAAACUUGGGAUCACACUCUUUGCUGUGAGUAAUUGCCUAAGCCAGCACCUUCAAUUCAAAACCACCAAUGCCCUUGGGCCAGACCACACCCCUAAGAGUGUGAAGUCCUUAUGGAGACAAUAUGUGACAGGCAUUUAGCUGCACUUUGAGGACAAAUUAAGUUCUUAACUGUCUGGAAAUCAUCUCAGUUGUAUGACAGAUUAGGCUCGUUUGGCAGCUUGCGUUCUCACAUAGAACAGUGGUGUUAAAAAGAAGGGUAAGAACACAGCCAAUCAUGACAUGAUACUGAAUCAUUAACCACAGCCCCUUGUUAGGUUUAAAUGUGCCUGAUGAAUUCACUGGCUACCCUCUGCACCGUUCCAUAGUCCAGAAUUGCAGGCUCAUUCCUGAGCUGUCGAUACAUGCCCAGGAUACCGUGUCAUCCCACCGGUUGACCAUGUUAUGGUAAAGGUGGUUGUGUCUGGCAAAUGUAGGUGUGGAGCAGAUGUCUCUGUGAAUCACAUUCCACAUCACACGCGCACACACGUAGUCUCAUGCUGAUGUUCAUUGUGAACUAAAGGAGGCCAGGGUUGUUUGUCCCAUGUUCAUGCUAGGAGAGACCAGGGCUGGUUGUUCCAUGUUCAUGCUAGGAGAGACCAGGGUUGGUUGUCCCAUGUUGAUGCUAGGAGAGACCAGGGCUGGUUGUCCCAUGUUCAUGCUUGGAGAGACCAGGGUUGGUUGUCCCAUGUUGAUGCCAGGGAGCUGGCUGCAUGUGUAAAGAGAGAGUGCACCGUUAUCUUGGCUUAAAAUGC
Long non-coding RNA from Esox lucius (northern pike), 1137 nucleotides. The record is from Ensembl. NCBI's taxonomy places the organism in Eukaryota, Metazoa, Chordata, Actinopteri, Esociformes, Esocidae.